GAUGAACGCUGGCGGCGUGCCUAACACAUGCAAGUCGAACGGAGUCGUUUUGGAAAUCUCUUCGGAGAUGGAAUUCUCGACUUAGUGGCGGACGGGUGAGUAACGCGUGAGCAAUCUGCCUUUAAGAGGGGGAUAACAGUCGGAAACGGCUGCUAAUACCGCAUAAAGCAUUAAAUUCGCAUGUUUUUGAUGCCAAAGGAGCAAUCCGCUUUUAGAUGAGCUCGCGUCUGAUUAGCUGGUUGGCGGGGUAACGGCCCACCAAGGCGACGAUCAGUAGCCGGACUGAGAGGUUGAACGGCCACAUUGGGACUGAGACACGGCCCAGACUCCUACGGGAGGCAGCAGUGGGGAAUAUUGCGCAAUGGGGGAAACCCUGACGCAGCAACGCCGCGUGAUUGAAGAAGGCCUUCGGGUUGUAAAGAUCUUUAAUCAGGGACGAAAUAAAUGACGGUAC
This 454-nucleotide ribosomal RNA is filed under the name uncultured bacterium. RNAcentral describes it as "bacterial SSU rRNA". It matches the Rfam family "Bacterial small subunit ribosomal RNA", at positions 28 to 478 of the family's 1533-position model. The record is from RNAcentral.